RNAcentral lists this ribosomal RNA (407 nucleotides) under Staphylococcus aureus. RNAcentral's name for it is "partial 23S ribosomal RNA". It matches the Rfam family "Bacterial large subunit ribosomal RNA", at positions 1377 to 1678 of the family's 2925-position model. Lineage: Bacteria; Bacillati; Bacillota; Bacilli; Caryophanales; Staphylococcaceae. The record is from RNAcentral.
GGGUGAGUCGGGUCCUAAGGCGAGGCCGACAGGCGUAGUCGAUGGGUAACCAGUUGAUAUUCUGGUACCGGCUUGUCACCGUCCGUGUCGAGGUGUGUGAUGCUAAGCAUGUGAGCUUGUCUUGGGAGUGUUUUUGAUGCUUCUGGGGUGGGUGAGUGUGUGAACCGAUCAUGUAGUAGGCAAGCUGCGGAGGGACGCAGUGAGGUAGCUCAUCCCCGGUGAUGGUUGUCCGGGGGUAAGUGUGUGGACUGGUUGGUAGGUAAAUCCGCUGGGCGUGAAGGUUGAGGAAUGAGGGGGAGCCCAUGGUUGUGGGUGAGUGAGUGAUCCUGUACUGUCGAGAAAAGCUUCGUGAGCGAGGUGGCGGGUCCGCCCGUACCCUAAACCGACACUGGUGGAUAGGUAGAGUA